GGGAGUGAAAUAGAACCUGAAACCCUGCACUUACAAGCUGUGGAAGCACAUUUCUUGUGUGACCGCGUACUUUUUGUAGAACGGGCCAACGAGUUACGUUAAGUAGCAAGGUUAAGCACUUAAGGUGCGGAGCCGUAGCGAAAGCGAGUUUUAACUGAGCGUUCAGUUACUUGACGUAGACCCGAAACCGGGCGACCUACCCAUGAGCAGGAUGAAGCGAAAGUAAAAUUUCGGCGAGGUCCGAACCCACGAGCGGUGAAAAGCUCGGGGAUGCCUUGUGGGUAGCGGUGAAAUGCCAAUCGAUCCCGGCGGCAGCUGGUCCUCGCGGAAAUAGCUUUAGGGCUAGCCUCAAGGUGAGAGAUACGGAGGUAGAGCACUGAAUGUCCUAGGGGGUAUUGCACCUACCGAAGACUAUCAAACUCCGAAUGCCGUCAUCUUAUACUUGGGAGUCAGACUGUGGGUGAUAAGAUUCAUAGUCGAAAGGGCAACAGCCCAGAUCGUCAGCUAAGGUCCCUAAAUGUAAGUUAAGUGGUAAAGGAUGUGGGAUUGCACAGACAACCAGGAUGUUGGCUUAGAAGCAGCCACUCAUUCAAAGAGUGCGUAAUAGCUCACUGGUCGAGUGAUCCUGCGCCGAAGAUUUCCGGGGCUAAAACUUACUACCGAAGCUACGGCAUCAGUAAUGAUGGGUAGGGGAGCUUCCCAUACGGGUUGAAGCAUGACCGUAAGGACAUG
Molecule: ribosomal RNA, 732 nt
Filed under: Clostridioides difficile
Lineage: Bacteria; Bacillati; Bacillota; Clostridia; Peptostreptococcales; Peptostreptococcaceae
Description: bacterial LSU rRNA
Rfam family: Bacterial large subunit ribosomal RNA
Source: RNAcentral